UACGUAGGGUGCAAGCGUUAAUCGGAAUUACUGGGCGUAAAGCGUGCGCAGGCGGUUUUGUAAGUCAGAUGUGAAAUCCCCGGGCUCAACCUGGGCACGGCAUUUGAGACUGCAAGGCUAGAGUGUGUCAGAGGUGGGUAGAAUUCCACGUGUAGCAGUGAAAUGCGUAGAGAUGUGGAGGAAUACCGAUGGCGAAGGCAGCCCCCUGGGAUAACACUGACGCUCAGGCACGAAAGCGUGGGGAGCAAACAGG
RNAcentral lists this ribosomal RNA (253 nucleotides) under uncultured bacterium. RNAcentral's name for it is "partial 16S ribosomal RNA". It matches the Rfam family "Bacterial small subunit ribosomal RNA", at positions 524 to 776 of the family's 1533-position model. The record is from RNAcentral.